This is a long non-coding RNA of Xenopus laevis (African clawed frog), 241 nucleotides long. RefSeq lists it as uncharacterized. The record is from RefSeq and is a predicted model, not a curated record. Lineage: Eukaryota; Metazoa; Chordata; Amphibia; Anura; Pipidae. The transcript has 3 exons.
UCAGAUAAAUCCAUCUCGUCUGAACAAGUGUAAGAGAUAGCCAGGGUCUCCUUAGGGAGACCCCCUUGGGGUACCCCGGCCUUGAGCCGGCCCCUACAUUUUUCAAGAUCUGAAAAGCUCCUUUAACAGGUUUUGAAGAUGAACGAGACAGAGAGAAUUCCAUCACUCCUGUCACUGUACUCCGUCCUGGAGGAUUUCAGGGUGGAGGAUACAGAUUUUGAGGCCCUCGCCUCUUAUUACG